UCCCUGGAGGACUAGUGGUUAGGCCUCGGCGCUCUCGCCGCCAUGGCCUGGGUUUGAUUCCCGGCCAGGGAG
This 72-nucleotide transfer RNA is filed under the name Pangasius djambal. RNAcentral describes it as "tRNA-Glu". It matches the Rfam family "tRNA". Rfam says of the family: Transfer RNA (tRNA) molecules are approximately 80 nucleotides in length. Their secondary structure includes four short double-helical elements and three loops (D, anti-codon, and T loops). Lineage: Eukaryota; Metazoa; Chordata; Actinopteri; Siluriformes; Pangasiidae. The record is from RNAcentral.